RNAcentral lists this ribosomal RNA (180 nucleotides) under uncultured Coriobacteriaceae bacterium. RNAcentral describes it as "partial 16S ribosomal RNA". It matches the Rfam family "Bacterial small subunit ribosomal RNA", at positions 1202 to 1382 of the family's 1533-position model. Lineage: Bacteria; Bacillati; Actinomycetota; Coriobacteriia; Coriobacteriales; Coriobacteriaceae. The record is from RNAcentral.
UUAUGUCCUGGGCUGCACACGUGCUACAAUGGUCGGUACAAUGGGCUGCGAUGCCGCGAGGCGGAGCGAAUCCCAUAAAACCGGCCCAGUUCGGAUCGAAGGCUGCAACUCGCCUUCGUGAAGUCGGAGUUGCUAGUAAUCGCGGAUCAGCAUGCCGCGGUGAAUACGUUCCCGGGCCUU